UAUUACGGGAUUGUCAUGCAUGCCCAGUGUCAUCCGAUCUCAGAAGCUAAGCAGAAUCAGGCCUGGUUAGCUCUUGGAUCGUAGACCAGGUGCUGUAAGUU
RNAcentral lists this ribosomal RNA (101 nucleotides) under Amphilophus citrinellus (Midas cichlid). The record is from RNAcentral. Lineage: Eukaryota; Metazoa; Chordata; Actinopteri; Cichliformes; Cichlidae.